This 429-nucleotide ribosomal RNA is filed under the name uncultured bacterium. RNAcentral describes it as "bacterial SSU rRNA". It matches the Rfam family "Bacterial small subunit ribosomal RNA", at positions 55 to 527 of the family's 1533-position model. The record is from RNAcentral.
AUGCAGUCGAACGGGCUCUUCGGAGCAAGUGGCGGACGGGUGAGUAACGCGUGAGAAUGUGCCUUCAGGAUGGGGAUAACAAUAGGAAACUAAUGCUAAGACCCAAUGUGCCUUAAGUGGUGAAAAAUGAAAAUUGCCUGAAGAGGAGCUCGCGUCUGAUUAGCUAGUUGGGGUGGUAAAAGCGCACCAAGGCAACGAUCAGUAGCUGGUCUUAGAGGAUGAGCAGCCACACUGGGACUGAGACACGGCCCAGACUCCUACGGGAGGCAGCAGUGGGGAAUUUUCCGCAAUGGGCGAAAGCCUGACGGAGCAAUACCGCGUGAGGGAGGAAGGCUCUUGGGUUGUAAACCUCAAAACUUAGGGAAGAAAAAAAUGACGGUACCUAAUUUAAGCAUCGGCUAACUCCGUGCCAGCAGCCGCGGUAAUACG